GUAAUCUUUUAAAAGAGAUGUUUAAAAAGCAUUUGCAUCUUUCCUGUUUUGUUGGGGCGACAGAAAUAUAAGUUAAAUUUUUGUAACUGUUUAGUAAAAAAAUAAUUUUAAUUAGUUUUUGAUCCUUUAUUAUUGAUUAGAAGAUUAAGUUACUUUAGGGAUAACAGCGA
RNAcentral lists this ribosomal RNA (170 nucleotides) under Processa cf. nouveli AR-2011b. RNAcentral describes it as "partial 16S ribosomal RNA". The record is from RNAcentral. Lineage: Eukaryota; Metazoa; Arthropoda; Malacostraca; Decapoda; Processidae.